This 247-nucleotide long non-coding RNA is filed under the name Elaeis guineensis (African oil palm). Its description in RNAcentral is "long non-coding RNA (EGUI_LNC016800)". The record is from RNAcentral. Lineage: Eukaryota; Viridiplantae; Streptophyta; Magnoliopsida; Arecales; Arecaceae.
CCGACAUAAUCAGAUAUUAGGGCUGUGAUGAUGUGAGAGGAAGGACUAAUUGUCAUUAUCCCAUCUGAUAAAUGCACUCUCAUUUUUAUCUAGUGCAUUUGUUUGUUUCUUAACACUUGAACCAAUAAAGUCUCUUUUUACUGGACAAGGUUAGCUUCCAUCCAGAUGUGGAACAUGGUCUGUACCUUGUUGAAAUCCAAAUGACUGGAUACGUCAUCAGUAAAAAUCACAUGACAAAAGGGACCCA